Molecule: ribosomal RNA, 512 nt
Filed under: uncultured bacterium
Lineage: Bacteria
Description: partial 16S ribosomal RNA
Rfam family: Bacterial small subunit ribosomal RNA
Source: RNAcentral
GACGAACGCUGGCGGCGUGCCUAAUACAUGCAAGUCGAGCGGAACUGGGGGAGCUUGCUCCUUCCAGCUUAGCGGCGGACGGGUGAGUAACACGUGGGCAACCUGCCCUGCCGAUCGGGGUAACUCCGGGAAACAGGUGCUCAUACCGAUUAGUUUGGCGCCUCUCCUGAGGCUCCACGGAAAGCCGGUUUCGGCUGUCACUGCAGGAUCGGCCCGCGGCGCAUUAGCUAGUUGGUGGGGUAGCGGCCCACCGAGGCGACGAUGCGUAGCCGACCUGAGAGGGUGACCGGCCACACUGGGACUGAGACACGGCCCAGACUCAUACGGGAGGCAGCAGUAGGGAAGCUUCCGCAAUGGACGCAAGUCUGACGGAGCAACGCCGCGUGAGUGACGAAGGUUUUCGGAUCGUAAAACUAUGUUGUGGGGGAAGAACACGUACCAACUAACUAUUGGUACCUUGACGGUACCUCACCAGAAAGCCACGGCUAACUACGUGCCAGCCGCCGCGGUAA